This 1545-nucleotide ribosomal RNA is filed under the name Mycobacterium tuberculosis. RNAcentral's name for it is "bacterial LSU rRNA". It matches the Rfam family "Bacterial large subunit ribosomal RNA", at positions 1437 to 2925 of the family's 2925-position model. The record is from RNAcentral. Lineage: Bacteria; Bacillati; Actinomycetota; Actinomycetes; Mycobacteriales; Mycobacteriaceae.
ACUCCCCUCCGGGGGUGUGGAGUUCUGGGGCUGCGUGGGAACUUCGCUGGUAGUAGUCAAGCGAAGGGGUGACGCAGGAAGGUAGCCGUACCAGUCAGUGGUAACACUGGGGCAAGCCGGUAGGGAGAGCGAUAGGCAAAUCCGUCGCUCACUAAUCCUGAGAGGUGACGCAUAGCCGGUUGAGGCGAAUUCGGUGAUCCUCUGCUGCCAAGAAAAGCCUCUAGCGAGCACACACACGGCCCGUACCCCAAACCGACACAGGUGGUCAGGUAGAGCAUACCAAGGCGUACGAGAUAACUAUGGUUAAGGAACUCGGCAAAAUGCCCCCGUAACUUCGGGAGAAGGGGGACCGGAAUAUCGUGAACACCCUUGCGGUGGGAGCGGGAUCCGGUCGCAGAAACCAGUGAGGAGCGACUGUUUACUAAAAACACAGGUCCGUGCGAAGUCGCAAGACGAUGUAUACGGACUGACGCCUGCCCGGUGCUGGAAGGUUAAGAGGACCCGUUAACCCGCAAGGGUGAAGCGGAGAAUUUAAGCCCCAGUAAACGGCGGUGGUAACUAUAACCAUCCUAAGGUAGCGAAAUUCCUUGUCGGGUAAGUUCCGACCUGCACGAAUGGCGUAACGACUUCUCAACUGUCUCAACCAUAGACUCGGCGAAAUUGCACUACGAGUAAAGAUGCUCGUUACGCGCGGCAGGACGAAAAGACCCCGGGACCUUCACUACAACUUGGUAUUGAUGUUCGGUACGGUUUGUGUAGGAUAGGUGGGAGACUGUGAAACCUCGACGCCAGUUGGGGCGGAGUCGUUGUUGAAAUACCACUCUGAUCGUAUUGGGCAUCUAACCUCGAACCCUGAAUCGGGUUUAGGGACAGUGCCUGGCGGGUAGUUUAACUGGGGCGGUUGCCUCCUAAAAUGUAACGGAGGCGCCCAAAGGUUCCCUCAACCUGGACGGCAAUCAGGUGGCGAGUGUAAAUGCACAAGGGAGCUUGACUGCGAGACUUACAAGUCAAGCAGGGACGAAAGUCGGGAUUAGUGAUCCGGCACCCCCGAGUGGAAGGGGUGUCGCUCAACGGAUAAAAGGUACCCCGGGGAUAACAGGCUGAUCUUCCCCAAGAGUCCAUAUCGACGGGAUGGUUUGGCACCUCGAUGUCGGCUCGUCGCAUCCUGGGGCUGGAGCAGGUCCCAAGGGUUGGGCUGUUCGCCCAUUAAAGCGGCACGCGAGCUGGGUUUAGAACGUCGUGAGACAGUUCGGUCUCUAUCCGCCGCGCGCGUCAGAAACUUGAGGAAACCUGUCCCUAGUACGAGAGGACCGGGACGGACGAACCUCUGGUGCACCAGUUGUCCCGCCAGGGGCACCGCUGGAUAGCCACGUUCGGUCAGGAUAACCGCUGAAAGCAUCUAAGCGGGAAACCUUCUCCAAGAUCAGGUUUCUCACCCACUUGGUGGGAUAAGGCCCCCCGCAGAACACGGGUUCAAUAGGUCAGACCUGGAAGCUCAGUAAUGGGUGUAGGGAACUGGUGCUAACCGGCCGAAAACUUACAACA